GUGAACGCUGGCGGUAGGCCUAACACAUGCAAGUCGAACGGCAGCACAGUAAGAGCUUGCUCUUACGGGUGGCGAGUGGCGGACAGGUGAGGAAUACAUCGGAAUCUACUUUUUCGUGGGGGAUAACGUAGGGAAACUUACGCUAAUACCGCAUACGACCUACGGGUGAAAGCAGGGGAUCUUCGGACCUUGCGCGAUUGAAUGAGCCGAUAUCGGAUUAGCUAGUUGGCGGGGUAAAGGCCCACCAAGGCGACGAUCCGUAGCUGGUCUGAGAGGAUGAUCAGCCACACUGGAACUGAGACACGGUCCAGACUCCUACGGGAGGCAGCAGUGGGGAAUAUUGGACAAUGGGCGCAAGCCUGAUCCAGCCAUACCGCGUGGGUGAAGAAGGCCUUCGGGUUGUAAAGCCUUUUUGUUGGGAAAGAAAAGCAGCAGGUUAAUACCCCGCUGUUCUGACGGUACCCAAAGAAUAAGCACCGGCUAACUUCGUG
This 491-nucleotide ribosomal RNA is filed under the name uncultured bacterium. RNAcentral describes it as "partial 16S ribosomal RNA". It matches the Rfam family "Bacterial small subunit ribosomal RNA", at positions 29 to 507 of the family's 1533-position model. The record is from RNAcentral.